CGGGGCAUAGCUCAAUUGGCUAGAGCGCCUGGUUUGGGACCAGGAGGCUCUCGGUUCAAGCCCGAGUGCCCCGA
This 74-nucleotide transfer RNA is filed under the name Elusimicrobia bacterium RIFCSPLOWO2_12_FULL_59_9. Its description in RNAcentral is "tRNA-Pro". It matches the Rfam family "tRNA". From Rfam's summary of the family: Transfer RNA (tRNA) molecules are approximately 80 nucleotides in length. Their secondary structure includes four short double-helical elements and three loops (D, anti-codon, and T loops). RNAcentral also lists the same sequence under 1 other name. The record is from RNAcentral. Lineage: Bacteria; Pseudomonadati; Elusimicrobiota.